GCCUGAGUGGCUCAGUUGGUUGAGCGUCUGACUUCAGCUCAGGUCAUGAUCUCACGGUUUGUGGGUUCAAGCCCCACAUCGGGCU
RNAcentral lists this transfer RNA (85 nucleotides) under Felis catus (domestic cat). It matches the Rfam family "tRNA". Rfam says of the family: Transfer RNA (tRNA) molecules are approximately 80 nucleotides in length. Their secondary structure includes four short double-helical elements and three loops (D, anti-codon, and T loops). RNAcentral also lists the same sequence under 3 other names. The record is from Rfam by way of RNAcentral. Lineage: Eukaryota; Metazoa; Chordata; Mammalia; Carnivora; Felidae.